RNAcentral lists this long non-coding RNA (1775 nucleotides) under Canis lupus familiaris (dog). RNAcentral's name for it is "lncRNA (ENSCAFG00030025671.1)". The record is from RNAcentral. Lineage: Eukaryota; Metazoa; Chordata; Mammalia; Carnivora; Canidae.
AUGUGGGCAGCACGGAGAGCAGUGGCCCCCUUUGGAGCUGACGGUGGGGUUUCCUCGGUGGACAUCCCAGGGCAGGGCACCGCCUCGGUGAACCCUAGAAAGGUGACCAGUGCUGAUCUGAAAACGUGGAUCCACUCCCCGGCGAUUCCCCUGCUGAAGGCCGCACACUUUCUGGCACUCUACAGGUUAGCGGGUGUGCUGGGAAGCUCCUCAGCCCGGCGUGCAUGUGGCUUCGAGAACUCCGUGAGACCAAGGCCAGGCAGAGGCCGAGCCUGUCUGUGCCAUGGGAGUGAGGGUGCCGGCCUGGUCCCCAGGGAGCCCAGGAGUGUGCUGGUGAAGGUGCCUGCAGGUCAAGCCCAGUGUCGGAAAGAUCCAGAAUGGAAAUGAUGGCCUACCUGGAGCUGGAGGAGGCCCAAGGUCAGGAAGGGUGGGGCUCAGCCCUGCUGGGGAAGGCCCUGGGGUGCAGAGAGUCUCAGCCAGCCCCUCCAGGCCUUGGGGUGAUGGUGACACUGCCCACCCCGCUACCAGGGGCCGAAGGGCCCCAAGUUUCCGACCCGUCCUGCAGGAAGCAGCAUUGCCAGUGCCUGGAUGACCCGAAGGGCAGUGUGGGUUUGGCACGCGGGGUGCUGGUGGCUGAGCUGCUUCUCAGCACUUCCAUCCACCCCCCUCCUCACCCCCCACCCCAGGGGGAAACUCCAAGGAUAAGCUCGCCUGCCAGCUCUCUUUAGGGGCUGACUCACAUUUUAAGCAAGUAAGCAACAGGCUUUUAUUUGCUUUGGAAACAGCCCUCACCUUAGUAGUUCUCUGAAUAUUGAUGCAAAAUUCACGACAGACUUAGUUACAACAGGCUCUAAGAUGAGUUGCUCAGCAUCUACGGGCCUUGUGGGGACCUCACGCCUGUUGUGAUAAAAACCCAAAAACAAAAACAAAAACAAAAACCACCUCUCAAAACUACAUCCCCAUGGUUCUCCUGCCUCCUCCCACCUCCUCCCACCUGGUGCUCGAGCUCUAGGCCAUCAGGGUACCUGCACAUGCCUCGUGUGCAGGGUGUCCCGCCGCUGAGCGGUGCAACGCUGGCCGCCUCUGGGCCUCCACCCGGCCCCCGUCAAGGGAACAGGAUGCUCACGCUGAAACCGCCUCCUCCGCCCUGCAGCCAGGAUGGAUUUCCCACCGACUAGCACGCGUAGGUCUAGAGCAUUCAGAGUUACUAAGAUUAGUCUCAAGGCGGCCCUGUUGGCCACCAGCACCCAUCUGGGAUGGAGAUUUGCAUUUCCUACUCUUUCCUCCCCAAAGCAGGGCAGAGAUAAUGCCAGAGGGUGAGUGGGCACUCAGAGUUGCCCACACCACGGGCAACAAAACUUCAAUGUCCCAUAAGGACACUGCGGGGUGGGGGUGGGGGGGGAGGAUUAAAUUUUAAGUAGAAAAAUCAGGAACCUGACCUCUGAAAAAUGAUUUGACUUCAGUAUUUCCUAAGGAGGCCAUCAAUCCUUGUAAAGAUAAAAGUGUAUAAUGUCAGAGGAUAUUCUUCCAGCAGGAUGAAUAAUCCCGACUACCUUACAAGCUUAGUAACACCACCAGGUGGAGAGCCCGCACUCCUUUGAACAAGCGCAAGUCCGUGGAGUAGCACCCAGAACACGGUCCCAGGCCUGGCACUGGGGGCGCGGGCGCCAUCUGCUGGUGGCCUGGAAACCGCCUCAGGGCUGUGGGAAGCCUCCUACAGACCCCCCGGGGGUCCGGGGACAGCCCAGUCUGGGGACAUUUUGGCCACUUCCCAC